This 253-nucleotide unclassified non-coding RNA is filed under the name uncultured Nitriliruptoraceae bacterium. RNAcentral's name for it is "contains 16S-23S intergenic spacer region". It matches the Rfam family "Bacterial small subunit ribosomal RNA", at positions 524 to 776 of the family's 1533-position model. The record is from RNAcentral. Lineage: Bacteria; Bacillati; Actinomycetota; Nitriliruptoria; Nitriliruptorales; Nitriliruptoraceae.
UACGUAGGGGGAGAGCGUUGUCCGGAAUCAUUGGGCGUAAAGAGCGUGUAGGCGGCCCUGUAAGUCGGAUGUGAAAGCCCGGAGCUCAACUCCGGAAUGUCAUUCGAUACUGCAGGGCUUGAGGCAGGUAGAGGAAAGUGGAAUUUCCGGUGUAGCGGUGGAAUGCGCAAAUAUCGGAAGGAACACCGAUGGCGAAGGCAGCUUUCUGGGCCUUGCCUGACGCUGAGACGCGAAAGCGUGGGGAGCGAACAGG